UGUUGACUCCAUUCUAUAGUACUAAGAUCGACACCCUCCUGAACCAAAUCCCAUAACGGGCUCAUAUUCCUUAAGAAAGAAACUUGUCUACUCACAUUUUCAAUAGCAUAAUCAAUUUCGGCUUCAGUUGUAAAUCGGCCAAUACCAAAACGAAUAGAACUGUGAGCAUUUUCAUCACUCUGACCAAUUGCACGCAAAACGUAAGACGGUUCUAGAGAUGCGGAUGUGCAGGCAGAACCAGAAGACAGCGCGAUAUUUUUCAAACCCAUAAGCAACGAUUCCCCUUCUACAUAAUUGAAAGAAAUGUUGACACAACCUGGAUAUCUAGAUUUAGGGUCGCCA
This is a non-coding RNA of Schizosaccharomyces pombe (fission yeast), 342 nucleotides long. Lineage: Eukaryota; Fungi; Ascomycota; Schizosaccharomycetes; Schizosaccharomycetales; Schizosaccharomycetaceae. The record is from the annotation of a GenBank genome assembly.